AGAAUGCCCCUGCACAAGUCCAGCUCUGAAGAUGGAUCUGGAGAAUGCCCCUGCACAAGUCCAGCUCUGAGGAUGGAUCUGGAGAAUGCCCCUGCACAAGUCCAGCUCUGAAGAUGGAUCUGGAGGUAAAUUGAGCCACAUUUUCACAUUUAUCUUCUGCACUCUUUCUAAGCUCAGCCUAGAAAAUACACCAUGAGCGGCGUGCAAUAUCAUUUUUAAGCACAAUGUGGAAUAUUGUCUCAUUCUUUUAUGUAAUAUUUAUUUGGGAAAGUCUCGAAGGCAUUUACAUCUGCACUGAAUACAACCUCUGGUGCUCUGUCGAGCUACAGUCUGACUUUAUUGUAUUUCCCUUCAUUGAUGUGAAGGGGUGUGAACAACCCGUUACGUUACUUGUUCAGAUAAAAAGCCUCUUGCAGCGUACAGUAUGUGCGGGUCAGAAAAUUAUGUUCUGGUGAGGAAAGUGGGAAAUUCUCUUGCUUAUCAUGGUAAGGGACUCGCGGCGGGCCCAAGGCCAACGCUGCAGCUCAGGGAAUGUUUGGCCACGCCGAGGCAAAGGAGUUGGCAGCGAGGACGCUUGGAUACUUCCAUCUCCUGUAGGCGUGAUUGUCGCCACACAACCCCCUAAUCGACGCGGGAUCGAUUACGAGCUACCCGGGAUCAUGUGGCGAUUUUUCUGACGACUGCUGAGAUUGGUGAGAGGUUUGUUUUUUUAAUCCCCUGAGAAAGUCCCUAUUUGGUCUGAGGCCCUCCUUGUCAGUCCCGGGAGUCAUGCAAACUAUCAUACUUCCCAUGAGAAAGCCCCUGUUCUGAGGCAUGGACUCUUGGUGGUCGGACCCUGUGAAUGGUGGUCGGACCCAGUGAAUGGUGGUGGGACCCUGUGAACGGUGGUCGGACCCUGUGAAUGGUGGUCAGACUCAGUGAAUGGUGGUCAGAC
Scophthalmus maximus (turbot) is the source of this 934-nucleotide long non-coding RNA. RefSeq lists it as uncharacterized. The transcript has 3 exons. NCBI's taxonomy places the organism in Eukaryota, Metazoa, Chordata, Actinopteri, Pleuronectiformes, Scophthalmidae. The record is from RefSeq and is a predicted model, not a curated record.